RNAcentral lists this ribosomal RNA (486 nucleotides) under uncultured bacterium. RNAcentral's name for it is "partial 16S ribosomal RNA". It matches the Rfam family "Bacterial small subunit ribosomal RNA", at positions 28 to 507 of the family's 1533-position model. The record is from RNAcentral.
GAUGAACGCUGGCGGCGUGCCUAAUACAUGCAAGUCGAACGCUGGAGAUCUAGCUUGCUAGAUCGAAGGAGUGGCGAACGGGUGAGUAAUACAUAAGCAACCUACCCACGAAGACUGGGAUAAUCUCUGGAAACGGGGACUAAUACCGGAUAGGUAAUCGGAAGGCAUCUUCUGGUUAUUAAAGGUUAAAAACACUGGUGGAUGGUCUUAUGGCGCAUUAGUUAGUUGGUGAGGUAACGGCCCACCAAGACGAUGAUGCGUAGCCGGCCUGAGAGGGUGAACGGCCACAUUGGGACUGAGACACGGCCCAGACUCCUACGGGAGGCAGCAGUAGGGAAUUUUCGGCAAUGGGGGCAACCCUGACCGAGCAACGCCGCGUGAGUGAAGACGGCCUUCGGGUUGUAAAGCUCUGUUGUAAGGGAAGAACGGUAGAUAGAGAAUAUCUAAGUGACGGUACCUUACCAGAAAGCCACGGCUAACUACGUG